CUGUUAUCCUUGCGGGGAAAUUUUAUCGCUAUUGGAUGAGUUCUUGUAAAAUUAGCUAGGGGGGGGGGUAAUGGCCCACCAAGGUUGUGAUCUGUAGCUGGCCUGGGAGGAUGAUCAGCCACACUGGAACUGAGACACGGUUCAGACUCCUACGGGACGUAGCAGUGGGGAAUAUUGGACAAUGGGCGCGAGCCUGAUCCAGCUAUGCCGCGUGAGUGAGGAAGGCUUUAGGGUUGUAAAACUCUUUCAGUAGGGAAUAUUAUGGCGGUACCUACAGAAAAAGUCCCGGCAUCUCCUGGCCAGUGGCGCGGUAAUACGGAGGGGCAAGCGUUCUCAGAAUUAUUGUCGUAAGGGGCAUG
RNAcentral lists this ribosomal RNA (359 nucleotides) under uncultured Anaplasma sp. RNAcentral describes it as "bacterial SSU rRNA". It matches the Rfam family "Bacterial small subunit ribosomal RNA", at positions 190 to 571 of the family's 1533-position model. Lineage: Bacteria; Pseudomonadati; Pseudomonadota; Alphaproteobacteria; Rickettsiales; Anaplasmataceae. The record is from RNAcentral.